CCUUGUGAUAGUUCGUUGUGGCGAGCAUGUCCACUUCCGGGUAAAGUGCAGGGAUGCUGUGCCAGAGGAAUACGAGUGAAAGGCGAGACAGCGAUGAGACCCUGGGUAGCUUAUGUUCGGCAGCUGCAGGUCUUUGAGGAAAGAAGUACCUGUGCUCAUGGCUCGUGAUUCACACCUGCGAAGAUACAGGACCCGCCGCCAUCCCCCCAGGGGGAGCAGGAUGAGGACCCUCAGGGGAGGAGCCGGGUAGCAGGCCGCCCGACUCCCAUCCGGUUCUGAGGUGCUUGGGGUUCACCAGAGCAGCCAGCGGUGGAAGCAGCCCGAUCUCAGUUCCAAUGCGAGGCAGCCUUGCUGAAGGGUGGAAGAGAACGAGAAAGCCAGCCACGCCUUGAGCACAGGCGUCUCCUUCACUGCUCCCAGAGCCAAAAUUCCCUCCACUCCAGCAGAGAGAGCCAGGAAGGGUGGAAACCAGAAGGGCUCUCAGUUCGGUGCAACCCAGCUGUGUGUGUUGUUCAACCACAGACUGCAGAAUCUGACCACCCUAACUAGCGAAGAAGACAUGAGUCCCCUGCAAUUUGCCGAGUUGAGAAAAGGCCUCCAGCUGUGGCUUUAUUGAUGCAGACCAGACGAGAACAACACCACUGCUAGUGUCCUGAAACACUUUCAUCCCUGUCAUUGG
This 679-nucleotide long non-coding RNA is filed under the name Heterocephalus glaber (naked mole-rat). RNAcentral describes it as "lncRNA (ENSHGLG00000040257.1)". The record is from RNAcentral. Lineage: Eukaryota; Metazoa; Chordata; Mammalia; Rodentia; Bathyergidae.